RNAcentral lists this long non-coding RNA (445 nucleotides) under Ananas comosus (pineapple). RNAcentral's name for it is "long non-coding RNA (ACOM_LNC039929)". The record is from RNAcentral. Lineage: Eukaryota; Viridiplantae; Streptophyta; Magnoliopsida; Poales; Bromeliaceae.
CAGACUCUGCUUGCUGCCGCACUACGCUGAUAAGCGCGGCCAUCUGCUCCCUAAGCUCUCCGUCGCCACUCGCUCCGGAUCGCUCGGGCGCCGCAUUCGACUCCUCCGGCAUCGACCUGUCUGCGGUCGACCACGAGGUGCCAUUGCUCCUGAAAAAAAGCAACUCGCAUUAGCUACAUGACCAACAUUACUUGACCAUACCCAAUUUGGCGAAAGCAACUUAUGCAUUCGUUCUUGCCCCAAGCAUUAUGUCGUCGGCUGCCCGACACAACACUAGAAGUAAAGGACGAACGAAAAUUAAACUUAGCCUCUAAUCACAUUAGAGACGUCCCAACUUAACCCAAUCACAUGCUUUCGCUAACUUUGAUUCUACGUCACUCACGUUUUCUAGAUCCUUAAGGUCUUCCAAUCCUAAAGGUCUCUAGGUCCAUUCCUGUUCUUUCAC